Molecule: long non-coding RNA, 3083 nt
Filed under: Sus scrofa (pig)
Lineage: Eukaryota; Metazoa; Chordata; Mammalia; Artiodactyla; Suidae
Description: lncRNA (ENSSSCG00000059970.1)
Source: RNAcentral
UGUAUAGCACAGAGAACUCUACUCAAUAUUCUGUGAUGGUCUCUGUGGGAAAAGAAUCUGAAAAUGGAUGUGUGUCCAUGUAUAACUGAAUCGCUUUGUUGUACAGCAGGUAUUAUCACAACCUUGUAGAUAAACUAUACGUCAAUAAAACUUUAAAAAAAGGAAAAAACAAAAGCAACCAAAAACGCUCCAGCCCUUGACAGUUGCCAAAGCCCCUGGUUCUGUGGGGCCAGGUUGCCGGGGCGUGGGAAGGGCACUGAGAGGGCGUGGAAGGGGCGUCCCAGAGAAAUGGAGCCAAGGUCACAAUUCCGCUCAAGGCAGGUGCAGCCUUGGUGCUGGGAGAACCGGACGUGUUUUUCAGUCAAAGCCGUUCGUUCUCUAAGGCCGAACCUGCGCCGUGUCAGUGAAGUGGAAUUUGAUCCAUGUAGACAGCUGAUCUGGACGUUUUUGGCCAGGAUUAUUUGUUUGGCUGUCUCCACUGAUCAAAUUAACUGGAUAAUUGCCAAGCCUCUUCUCAGUUGUGCUCCCUUAGGCAGCUGGUGCGGCCAGCAGGAUGGGGUGGGCCUCCCAGGACAAGCCAGAUUAGGGCAUUAGCACACGCUUGCUACCUGGGCGGCUCAGGGAACCAGCCAUUUAAUCAGGGUGAGAAGGGAGGGCCUGGGUGGGAGGAAGCAGGUGACGGAUGGGCCUCAGGUCGCCCGGCUUCCCAGGCAGAGAGAUGGAGGCGCGACGCAGCCUGGAUCGCCCCACGCAGCCCUCGGGACAGCAGACGCGACGGUGUGUGGACUGGAUCAGGGACCUGCCCUAAUUCCCUUCCCACUCACUGUGCCGUGUGAGUGUAUCAGAGGCUCUUCUCGCUAAGCAGUCUGUGUGCCAGGAGAUGAGUGUCUUCAACUCUGGGGCCAAGAAAAGCUUAAAAGAGGCUGCGAAAAAGGCGGGGAAAGAGGUUGUCUUUCUCUUGCCUCCCUCUUGGGGUGGCUGGGACCCAGGCUCCCACGAGCACGCUUUGGGCCUUGCUGGGCACCCUGAGUGUUUUGCACGUGCCCGGCCGCCUCCGCUGAUGGGUGGCUUCUCUAAGAGCACGAGUCUCUCCCGGUUUUUGCAGCACCUAGUGUGUAAUCAGCAGUCCGGUGUGUAAUCAGCACUUACUGAGCUGGUUGGUCCAUUGCUUAAUUCAGUAAGAUGUACUGAGCACUCAUCAUAUCCUUGUGUUCUUAGGGGAGAACAAAGAGAAAACAAGCCUCAUUUAGGAGGAGCCCCCCGUUUUCUUGGGGUGACCAGUGAUCUUGGUCCAAGAUGGCAAGAGGGACGGUAGCUUUGAAUGGAAGUGCUUAGGGGAAUAGAAUGGGGUUGGAGGCCAGCACACUUAGCAAACCACAGCCCAAUAAGGGCUGAGGAAACAAGGGAGGUGUCGUGAGCCUUGUUCAACAGAGGAGCAAACUGAAGUUCAGAGAGAGUAAAUGACUUGCUCAAGGUCAUGCCACUUGCAAGAGUCGGAGCCCCAGUGGAGCCUCAGGCUUACUGGCCCCCUUUGUGUCUCUAGAUUGGCCCUCUUUGAAUGGAUUGCAUCCUGGCCUUCAGUGAGGGGGCAGGGGCCUGGGCUGGAGGACCGCAGGAUGGCUAGAGGGCCGUGAAUUGGAUAAGGAUCUCAAACUUGUGCUCUGAAGUCCGGAGCCAUCUGCAGACGGGUUUGUUAGGUUCAGGUGGUGGUGGUGGUGUUUUAAACCCAACUGAUAGCUGACAAAUCAAGACGUUUCACAUAAAGUUUCUGCUCUCUGGCUUCACUUUGAGAAAGAAGAUCCACAGCUCCCGAGUCACCACGGUUUGCUAGAGGGAGCCCAGCGGUGGCAGGUCUUCUGGUUAUCGCACGGCUCCCGGCUGGUGCUCUCCAGGCAUUUGGAUUUGCGAGUCUGGGGAUGAGGGACCAGAGUGCCGACCCCUCCCCUAGCUCUUAUCCCGGGAUGGUCUGAACGAGCAUGUGCAUUAAGAGAGCUGGACAGGGAGUCAGGAAGCUUGGGCGGGGGCGGGGGUGCCUACACGGGAUCUGGGUCAGAGCGCACUUAACCUCUUCCUCAUUGCAGGCUGGGGUCCUGCUGCGGUUUCAGGGUGGCCCCAGCAUUUCCAUGUGGUGCAAGGAGACAGUGGAAGUGAAAACUCUUCAUAAACUGCUGAUGGAGAACAAAGGCCAGGCAGGUUGUGGUGAUGAGUGAAUGGUGAAGGUGGGUGCUGCGGGGGUGGGGGUGGGGUGUCUGCCUGCACCCCCCACUCCACCCCAAGCCGGGGCCUCCAGCCUGCCUUCACACAGGGCCCCAGGAAGUAGGUGUGGACAAGCAUCUGCCCAGCUUCCGGUCAAGUGACCCAAAUGUUGGCCUUGAGAACCGUCCAACCAGGUUGGAAGGUGGGUGCGGGGGGGGGGGGGAGGGAGCUCGAAGAGGCCUUUCUAUCAACAGAGUCCUGGGUCCCCACACACAUGGGCUGGCGCCGAGGGCCAGGUACAUCUGCACAUGGUCCAUCCUGGCGAGGGGGCUGGGUGUCUGCCUGAGAGUCCAGCUCUGUUCCCCGUGCUCCACAGCAAUUGCCCUCAAACCAUUUCUGUCGGACUCCCUCUCUCGGGAACUUCAGCUUUGUCAUUUAAAAUAGUUUGGGAACUUCAGAUUUAGCUGAGUGUCAGAGCAGUUUAUUUGGUCUGUAGGCGUUUUUGUUUUUAAAAUUCAUGACAAGUUCCUUGCAGCAUGCUUUAUUCUAUUUUCACCACCUGUUCUACCUUGGGGGUGGUUUUAAAAUCUGGGACUAUCUAUCUAUCUGUCUGUUUUUUUUUUAAGUUUCCUUAUUUGCCAUUUAUAUGUGUCUUGCAAACAUACACACGUGCGCACACACAAUGUGAAUUUAAAUAUGGGUAUGUCAGGAAAUAUGUGUAUAUAAAUAUCCCUCUUCUUCUGUGGCUUGAUAGGCUUGGUUGUAAUGUUGAAGGUGUAUGUUUUGUCAGGCUAAUUAUGGAGUUUUAAAUGAUAAAUUGGUAAAACAAAUAAAUACUUGGAAAACCCUUUGCUACUGUUAAGUGCUAUCUUUCUGAACAUUAAUAG